GAUGAACGCUGGCGAUAGGCUUAACACAUGCAAGUCGAGGGGCAUCGGGGUGCAGCAAUGCACUGCCGGCGACCGGCGCACGGGUGAGUAACAGGUAUGCAACCUGCCAUCGAGCGGGGGAUAACCCGUUGAAAGACGGACUAAUACCCCAUAAUAACGGGAAUUCGCAUGGGUUUUCGUUUAAAGAUACGUUGCUGGAUGAUGGGCAUGCUUUCCAUUAGGCAGUCGGCGGGGUAACGGCCCACCGAGCCGACGAUGGAUAGGGGCACUGAGAGGUUUGUCCCCCACACCGGUACUGAGACACGGACCGGACUCCUACGGGAGGCAGCAGUGAGGAAUCUUGGUCAAUGGGCGGAAGCCUGAACCAGCCAAAUCGCGUGAAGGAAGACGGUAUUAUGUAUUGUAAACUUCUUUUGACGGGGAAUAAAGGUUGUCACGAGUGACAGAUUGAAUGUACCCGUCGAAUAAGGAUCGGCUAACUCCGUGCCAGCAGCCGCGGUAAUACGGAGGAUCCGAGCGUUAUCCGGAUUUAUUGGGUUUAAAGGGUGCGUAGGCGGGGAUAUAAGUCGGCGGUGAAAUUUUGCGGCUCAACCGAAAAACUGCCGUCGAAACUGUAUUUCUUGAGAUCGGCAGACGUAGGCGGAAUGCGCGGUGUAGCGGUGAAAUGCAUAGAUAUCGCGCAGAACUCCGAUUGCGAAGGCAGCUUACGGGAGCGAAUCUGACGCUGAAGCACGAAAGCACGGGUAUCAAACAGGAUUAGAUACCCUGGUAGUCCGCGCCGUAAACGAUGAUCACCAGUUGUUUGCGAGAUACAGUAAGCGACACAGCGAAAGCGUUAAGUGAUCCACCUGGGGAGUACGCCGGCAACGGUGAAACUCAAAGGAAUUGACGGGGGCCCGCACAAGCGGAGGAACAUGUGGUUUAAUUCGAUGAUACGCGAGGAACCUUACCCGGGCUCGAACGGCCGGUGAAUACAGAUGAAAGUUUGUAGUCGCAAGACACCGGUCGAGGUGCUGCAUGGUUGUCGUCAGCUCGUGCCGUGAGGUGUCGGCUUAAGUGCCAUAACGAGCGCAACCCUCACCGACGGUUACCAGCGGGUCAAGCCGGGGACUCUGUCGGAACUGCCGCCGCAAGGUGCGAGGAAGGGGGGGAUGACGUCAAAUCAGCACGGCCCUUACGUCCGGGGCGACACACGUGUUACAAUGGGGGGUACAGAGGGCAGCUACACGGCGACGUGAUGCGAAUCUCAGAAAGCCCCUCCCAGUUCGGAUAGGAGUCUGCAACCCGACUCCUUGAAGCCGGAUUCGCUAGUAAUCGCGCAUCAGCCAUGGCGCGGUGAAUACGUUCCCGGGC
RNAcentral lists this ribosomal RNA (1353 nucleotides) under uncultured Bacteroidales bacterium. Its description in RNAcentral is "bacterial SSU rRNA". It matches the Rfam family "Bacterial small subunit ribosomal RNA", at positions 28 to 1379 of the family's 1533-position model. The record is from RNAcentral. Lineage: Bacteria; Pseudomonadati; Bacteroidota; Bacteroidia; Bacteroidales.